This is a long non-coding RNA of Mus musculus (house mouse), 2029 nucleotides long. RefSeq lists it as uncharacterized. NCBI's taxonomy places the organism in Eukaryota, Metazoa, Chordata, Mammalia, Rodentia, Muridae. The record is from RefSeq and is a predicted model, not a curated record. The transcript is spliced from 4 exons.
AAACCUGACACUCUGCACCCUUCACCUUGGGCUGUGUAACCUCAGAACAGGAUUCCAACAUGUUCCAGUUCACCAUUUACUCAGUGGCAAAACAGGUCUGGUGAAAUUUAAAGCCAGUUCGCUGUGCUGACCAGAACUCUUGUGUGCCUGCCUAUCCAGUGAGUUCAGAACGAACUCCAUCAGAUCUACAGCCUUUGCUGAAGCCUCCUCCUGUACCCCCUUGCUGGAGUCUUCUCCAGCAUCCCCUUACCCAUCAUCUCAUCUUGACGGGGCUUUUUUUUCUGCUGUCUUCUUUUGGAAUUUGACCAGUUCGGAUGUUUUUUUCUUCUUGCUAAGAAGAAAAGAAAACAAAGUCUUUUAUAGUCACAUAGAGCUGUCAGUCUUUUUUAUUUAAAGAAUUCAACUAUGUUUUUGACUGUUAAUUGUGCACUUGCACGCGUGUAUAUGUGUAUGAUUUAACUCCAAGUUAUCUCUCUGAUCUCAACCCUAACCUUUUUAAAUGACCAGCUGGGAAGGAAGAAGAGAUCAGAGUUUUGAACUAGAAGGAGCAAGCUUCAAGGACAAGUGUUAAAAUGAGAAUUCUUUGAAUCAGUUCUUGGGAAAUUAAGCUAGGAAACAGAUAAUGGUAGAGCCUAAGGAUGACUUCUGGGCAUGAGAAACCAAGAAUUUGUGAAGGGAAAACAAGAACCAGACAUGAGGAGAUAAAGACUUGAGCAGCUGGAGUAUUGGAUUGUUUGCCUGCUAUCCCAGCACUUGAAAGCAUCCAGGACCAUGGAAAGAACUGAGGUGGGAGAAAACGGACUUGGAAGGCUUCCAGGAAGCAAUGGGGAAACCAAUGGAUGACAGUAUCAGAAAGGUGUGCAGGGUACUUCCUGGGCCAUUUCCAGGUCAUUUGCUGCUGGAGAGUCAUCUUUUACCACUAGCAAAAGAAACGGAAUUCACAUCAGAGAAAACCCCCUCUCAGAUUCCAGCCCCAGAGAACCACAGAUCAUCGGUUACACAGCUAAGUUUGACCGGCGCAGAAAUGCCAUAUAAAUGAAGACAUAAAGUGUACUUUUUUUUGGUGUAUGGCUUUGUUUGCAUCCCUGUACCCUUGGGACCUGUUCCUGCAGGUCAGUAAUUUGUACCUCUUCAGCAGAGGUCUGAGCCUGGAGCCCUGGACAGGCCCUCGUCCCUAGCCACCUUGUCUCUGCCUCUGUUUUGCCUGUUAUUUCCAGGCUUCUGUUGGUUGCUUUUGUUUUAUUUGCAUCUUUACGCCUGUUUCUUUACCUUUCCACUUCAGGCUGGUUUUCUAACUUACAGAAUGAGAAUUAGCAUUCCAGAUAAGAGCAACAGUUAUGCAGAGUAAAUGUAAGGCACCCAUUCUUCAAAAAUGAUACUGUCCCCGACUGGCUAUAGCCUCGGCUGUGAUCCACUUCCGAAUUCUGUGAGAUGCCUCUUGUUCUCAAGACCAUGGUGAAAUUGCUGAAGCCCUGUGUUGCCUCGCUGUCAGUGUCACACCUUAGCAAGCAGCUCUGCCUGGAUUCUCUGCACUUGCCUUUGGUUGGUUGGAGGUGUGUGGGCGGGGUUGGGGGCGGUCUCUUGCUCUAGCUACCUUCAGAAGCUUCAAAAACUUUAUGAAGCCACACCCGACUUUUCCUACUCUGCUGCUCAAUUAUCAGGUCCCAGCUUCUCUGGUUCUGACUUACUAGGGUGCCAGGACAGUUCCAAGUCUGAGAGACUGCAGACAAUCUAACUCUUCCUGGUCUUUCCAAGGCACCGCCCCCACUUAGGGUUAAGGGACCACUUCCUUCCUAUCCUAACCAGCCAGCUGGCCUUAGACAGCUCUGAGCCCUUCACUGAAACAGACCCUUCCACCUUCUUUCCUUAGAAGGCAGCAGGCGUCCCAGGAGGCCCCUGAAGGAGUUCUCUCUGGGCUUUCCAGAGACUCAGAGGGGGUUCGGUCUACCCUGAACCCUGAACCCAGUUCAGGGUCCCUUGGAGUCUGUGUAGGGGAUGGCAGGAGGCUACAAUGAACUCAGCAUCAGGU